Macaca fascicularis (crab-eating macaque) is the source of this 116-nucleotide unclassified non-coding RNA. It matches the Rfam family "Metazoan signal recognition particle RNA". From Rfam's summary of the family: The signal recognition particle (SRP) is a universally conserved ribonucleoprotein. The record is from Ensembl. NCBI's taxonomy places the organism in Eukaryota, Metazoa, Chordata, Mammalia, Primates, Cercopithecidae.
GCCGGGCAUGGUGGCUCAUGCCUGUAAUCCCAGCACUUUCGGAGGCCGAGGCGGGCGGAUCACCUGAGGUCAGGAGUUCAAGACCAGCCUGGCCAACAUGGUGAAACCCGUCUCUA